This 1411-nucleotide long non-coding RNA is filed under the name Junco hyemalis (dark-eyed junco). Its description in RNAcentral is "lncRNA (ENSJHYG00000008655.1)". The record is from RNAcentral. Lineage: Eukaryota; Metazoa; Chordata; Aves; Passeriformes; Passerellidae.
GCAGCCUUUGUCUUCCCUUAAUCUCCUGGUUAGGAAUUAAAAGGGGGGAAAAACCCAGCAGCACAAAAGGCUCUUUUGCACGGGCUGGGAGGGGGGAAGCGCAGAGCCCAGGCAGGGUGCAGGCAGGCCUUGCCGUGUCCCCAGCCCAGCCCGGCCACCAGGGUCCCCAAGGGCCACCAGGGUCCCCAAGGGCCACCAGGGUCCCCAAGGACCACCCCACCCUGCUCCCAUGGCCCCAGGAUGAUCCCACAGUGGCACACGAGGGCUGGCGGCCCUGGAGCAUCAUCUGGUGCACUCAGCCCCUCAAAACGUCCUCACCCAUUGGCUGCUCCAGGAGGAGGCAGGGAGCAUCUUUUGGGAGGGAACUGGACUGGGCUUGCACCCCCGUGGGGUCAAGAGGCUCCUGCUCACUGCCACGGACCCACUUUUAUACACACAGUGCCCAAACACACCCUCACCUGCCCAGCACAGGGCUCCCUGCCACCCAGAGCCCCCCAAGAACCACGCAGCCACCACAGACCUCCAUAAAAUUCCUUAAAUAAUUUAAUUGAAAAAAAGUCUUUCCGUUAAAAAAUAUUUUUACAAACGCACGCUCGCAUUGAUUUCCCUGGCUGCUGUUUUUUUUCGCUGUUGCUUUUCUUUCACCAUGGAACACAGCUUUCCCCCAGAUCUGUGUGGAAAGGGAGGAGGCAGGUACAGGAUGUGGGGAGCUGCUGGGUGCACCCCUGUGGCUGGGGUGAGACCCGGGGCUGGCUGCAGGGAUGGUGUGUCCUGCCCCAAGGGAGCAGGGUGUGCAUAGAGAAGGGUGGGAGAAGGGUUUCUUGUUUAAAAUGAGAACAACCCCUCCUCAAAGCAAAGCCAGGCUAGGAUGGGGGACUGAGAUGGGGAUGUUUGAGAUGCACCAGGGCUGGUGGGGCUGGGGAGCUGCCAGGGUAGGGAGCAAGCCAGGAUGGGAAACCCCAGCAGAAUGGGGCUGUGGUGUCCCUGUGAGCCAACAUCCCAGAUACAUCUCACAGAGGGAUGUGGGGAGACCCUUCCUGCUGCCACCUGCCCUCCUGGACUUGUUUACCCUGUGGAGGAGGACAGGGUUAAUGAGAAACCCAAGGGCAGGCCUGUUCCAAGGGAAGGGAAAAAACAGCAGCUGCUGUGUUAGCCCGGGGAGGGGGGAUCAGGGCCAAAUACUGGGGAGCACAGGGGUGCACCCCCUCAUUUUGGGGACAGACCACUCGCCCCUAUGGAAUGCCAGCAAAGCACCCCAAAAGCCAGUUAACAAGGUAGCGCAGCCAAGGGGGACCUGAGAAACCCAGGAUGAGGAACUGGGGUUCCACUUGGCCACUGUGGACAAAUCUCCCCUAGACCGAGGGCAUGGCCCCACAAUUGCUCUCCCUUGCCACCUGCAGCUGGUCUGUUC